CGGACGGGUGAGUAACACGUGGAUAACCUACCUAUAAGACUGGGAUAACUUCGGGAAACCGGAGCUAAUACCGGAUAAUAUUUUGAACCGCAUGGUUCAAAAGUAAAAGACGGUCUUGCUGUCACUUAUAGAUGGAUCCGCGCUGCAUUAGCUAGUUGGUAAGGUAGCGGCUUACCAAGGCAACGAUGCAUAGCCGACCUGAGAGGGUGAUCGGCCACACUGGAACUGAGACACGGUCCAG
Molecule: ribosomal RNA, 241 nt
Filed under: uncultured Staphylococcus sp.
Lineage: Bacteria; Bacillati; Bacillota; Bacilli; Caryophanales; Staphylococcaceae
Description: partial 16S ribosomal RNA
Rfam family: Bacterial small subunit ribosomal RNA
Source: RNAcentral